This 468-nucleotide ribosomal RNA is filed under the name uncultured bacterium. RNAcentral's name for it is "partial 16S ribosomal RNA". It matches the Rfam family "Bacterial small subunit ribosomal RNA", at positions 28 to 507 of the family's 1533-position model. The record is from RNAcentral.
GACGAACGCUGGCGGCGUGCUUAACACAUGCAAGUCGAACGGAAAGGCCCUGCUUUUGUGGGGUGCUCGAGUGGCGAACGGGUGAGUAACACGUGAGUAACCUGCCCUUGACUUUGGGAUAACUUCAGGAAACUGGGGCUAAUACCGGAUAGGAGCUCCUGCUGCAUGGUGGGGGUUGGAAAGUUUCGGCGGUUGGGGAUGGACUCGCGGCUUAUCAGCUUGUUGGUGGGGUAGUGGCUUACCACGGCUUUGACGGGUAGCCGGCCUGAGAGGGUGACCGGCCACAUUGGGACUGAGAUACGGCCCAGACUGCUACGGGAGGCAGCAGUGGGGAAUAUUGCACAACGGGCGGAAGCCUGAUGCAGCAACGCCGCGUGCGGGAUGACGGCCUUCGGGUUGUAAACCGCUUUCGCCUGUGACGAAGCGUGAGUGACGGUAAUGGGUAAAGAAGCACCGGCUAACUACGUG